Long non-coding RNA from Lotus japonicus, 824 nucleotides. RefSeq lists it as uncharacterized. The transcript is spliced from 5 exons. Lineage: Eukaryota; Viridiplantae; Streptophyta; Magnoliopsida; Fabales; Fabaceae. The record is from RefSeq and is a predicted model, not a curated record.
CAUCACACCAUGAAUUCAAGAUCCUGUUCAAUGGAUUUACAAUGAUCCCUCUGUAUGGAUUUACAUUCAUGAAUUCAGCUGAAAUGGUUUACACCAUGGGCGAAUGCGAAUACCUCAUUAACAUGAUAGGUUUGGAAACAGCAGUAUCAAUACACUAAAAGUUCCAAUGUCACAAGGAUGAUCGAGUUGGAGUUGACUCAUGAUGAUAGGGGCAAGAUUCAAUGUGCUCUCUUUGGAAGUUAUGUGGACAUUGUGAAUGAACAUGUGCAAACUGAUGGCCAUGCUAUGCCUAUUGUUAUCCUGUAGCAUGCAAAGAUAAACCUUCAAAGGAAACGUUGUCAUCCAGAAUGUGAUGCAUGCUACUAAAAGAGAUCUUGAUCACCAACAAGGCCAAAUACAUGCUAAAAGAGAGCAAAUGAAUAUGUUUGCAGCAACUCAAAAGGGAGAAGUUUUAUGCAAGUUCGUCGUGUCUGUGGGCAGAAAAUUGAAACAUAAGUUGCUAUGGCAAAGUACAUAUGGAGGACCCUUUUGCUAUUGUUGAGUACUGUUACGAUUACAGAUGAACCUUAGUGGGAAUGGCUGCUGAUGCACUUUGCCAUUGUUGAGUAGUGUUUAUUUUCUUAUAAUGGGACACUGAUAAGCUUCUGAUGCACCCAAUAUGUACAUACUUUCCUUGAAGCUCUCUUGAUUGCAAUGAUAUCGUUCAUCAUGCAAGCACCUUAAUUUCAACUGAUGUAAUUUGGCCCUGGAGCUUUGAUCAUUGUGCUUAUAUUUAUAUUGUCUUCAUUUUGUCACUUUUAAUAUUUAAAUAGUUUCAUUGUGUG